CACCGGCAGACGGGGCUGCAAAUGCUUCUGGACUGGUGUCCAAUGCAGUGGUUGCUGUUUUUAGACCUUGGGACUAGUAUGGGGACACUUGGGCUCAACUGAUUCAUCGUCGGGGCGACGAUGCAGAAAGCGGGGGUGGAUUGUAGCAGGAUGAAUGCUGCACUCUCCUUGGGUUGGCUGUGUUAUGCUCCUGUGACAUAAUGACCGUGCCUUGCUUUGACCAAUCAUGACACGAGGAUGCACUAUAAAGCUGGGCAAGGGUUACUCACUGUUCUCUUGCUGCAACGUCAGGGGCACGCCCCGCUUCCCGUUUGCCUCGCUUCCCGUUUGCCUCACUUCCUGUUUGCCUCACUUCCUGUUUACCAUUGCUAACAGGGUCACUGUUGGGUGUCCAUAGCCAGAGAGCUGAGCCGCUCGCUGGCUGCUGUAUGUCCAGUUCGAGCCGUGAGCCGCUCGCGAGCCGUUACUGGCUGUUACCGUGGCUGCCGGUUGCUCCCCGUUCCCUUGUGGUGGACAAAAUUUACUGAUUGGUGGGCUGCCGUUUGUCUGGAGCUGUGCUGGCUACACGGGGUUCCAACCGUAGGAGACGCUGCUGCUUUGCCUCCGUGGGUUUGUCUCGCAGACGUGGGUCUGUGUUGCCGAACGCUUGCCGGUCGGCUUCGUCUUCUUUCAGUCUGUUAUCUGCUUUUGCGUUGGUGCUGUGGGUGUCGGGCUGCUUCCAGCUUGUCUCUGUGGCUGCUGACCAACCGUUGUACAUACUGCUUCUUCUAACGUCCAGAGUGCAUGUGUGAAAAUAGGGUUUAAUUUUCUUUCUUUUCCCCUUGUUUCUUUUGAGUAUUUACUGCAGUCACGUGGCUAUUUGUGUUUGUUAGGUAUUUUCUUUGUCUGAUUUUAGGAUUUGUGUCACGUGACUGCACUUGAUUAGUCAUUUUGUAUGCAGUGGAUUUUGUUUAAGUAUAAGUUAAUGUUCAUUCAUUCAGUUAAUUGAAUCUUUCAGUUUUGCUAAAUUUGUUUUUUUUUAUUAUGUUAAGUAGUUUUCUGAAGUGUUGGUAAUUGUUCUUUUGUCAACUGAUUUAUGGAACCCUGUUAAUAACUGUUCCCUUUCCUUUG
This is a long non-coding RNA of Amphiprion ocellaris (clown anemonefish), 1110 nucleotides long. RefSeq lists it as uncharacterized. The transcript has 3 exons. The record is from RefSeq and is a predicted model, not a curated record. Lineage: Eukaryota; Metazoa; Chordata; Actinopteri; Pomacentridae.